UGGAGAGUUUGAUCCUGGCUCAGGACGAACGCUGGCGGCGUGCUUAACACAUGCAAGUCGAACGCUGAAGCUCAGCUUUUGUUGGGUGGAUGAGUGGCGAACGGGUGAGUAACACGUGAGUAACCUGCCCCCUUCUUUGGGAUAACGCCCGGAAACGGGUGCUAAUACUGGAUAUUCACUGGNCUUCGCAUGGGGGUUGGUGGAAAGGGUUUUUCUGGUGGGGGAUGGGCUCGCGGCCUAUCAGCUUGUUGGUGGGGUGAUGGCCUACCAAGGCUUUGACGGGUAGCCGGCCUGAGAGGGUGACCGGUCACAUUGGGACUGAGAUACGGCCCAGACUCCUACGGGAGGCAGCAGUGGGGAAUAUUGCACAAUGGGCGCAAGCCUGAUGCAGCGACGCCGCGUGAGGGAUGGAGGCCUUCGGGUUGUGAACCUCUUUCGCUCAUGGUCAAGCCGCAACAAUGGUUGUGGUGAGGGUAGUGGGUAAAGAAGCGCCGGCUAACUACGUGCCAGCAGCCGCGGUA
Molecule: ribosomal RNA, 521 nt
Filed under: Schaalia meyeri
Lineage: Bacteria; Bacillati; Actinomycetota; Actinomycetes; Actinomycetales; Actinomycetaceae
Description: bacterial SSU rRNA
Rfam family: Bacterial small subunit ribosomal RNA
Source: RNAcentral